CCUACGGGUGGCAGCAGUGGGGAAUAUUGGACAAUGGGGGCAACCCUGAUCCAGCCAUGCCGCGUGUGUGAAGAAGGCCCUCGGGUUGUAAAGCACUUUCAGUGAGGAAGAACGCCUGGUGGUUAAUACCCAUCAGGAAAGACAUCACUCACAGAAGAAGCACCGGCUAACUCCGUGCCAGCAGCCGCGGUAAUACGGAGGGUGCGAGCGUUAAUCGGAAUUACUGGGCGUAAAGCGCGCGUAGGUGGCUUGAUAAGCCGGUUGUGAAAGCCCCGGGCUCAACCUGUGAACGGCAUCCGGAACUGUCAAGCUAGAGUGCAGGAGAGGAAGGUAGAAUUCCCGGUGUAGCGGUGAAAUGCGUAGAGAUCGGGAGGAAUACCAGUGGCGAAGGCGGCCUUCUGGACUGACACUGACACUGAGGUGCGAAAGCGUGGGUAGCAAACAGGAUUAGAUACCCCAGUAGUC
This 465-nucleotide ribosomal RNA is filed under the name Vreelandella stevensii. RNAcentral describes it as "partial 16S ribosomal RNA". It matches the Rfam family "Bacterial small subunit ribosomal RNA", at positions 338 to 795 of the family's 1533-position model. The record is from RNAcentral. Lineage: Bacteria; Pseudomonadati; Pseudomonadota; Gammaproteobacteria; Oceanospirillales; Halomonadaceae.